Molecule: long non-coding RNA, 2236 nt
Filed under: Apis mellifera (honey bee)
Lineage: Eukaryota; Metazoa; Arthropoda; Insecta; Hymenoptera; Apidae
Description: uncharacterized LOC102656333
Source: RNAcentral
UACACGUAUUUUUCUCUUCUAUAAUUUUACCUUCCACAACAAUCACGCUCGCUGCAAAUCGGCGUCAAUUCGACCGGCCUGUAAUGGUCGAACAAUCCGGAAGAACAAUAUCGAUAAUCGUAUAAUUGGCCUACGUUACAAUUAUAUUUAAUCGUCGCAUGGUCAAACGUAACGUAACGCGCGGCGGCGGAAUAUCAGAGAGCGCUUGCGCGAACGAGCAACAAAACGUUGUUUCUCUCCGUCCCGUUGAAGUCGUCCGCGUAAAAUGGUCAAAAAGCGUUACAUAAGCUUUCGUAACGCCGAGUUGUUUGCAACUGGAAAAAAAGAAGAAAGAGAAAAAGAGAGAGAGAGAGAAAAAAGAUACUGGACACGUUCGCGGCCCAACUGCAUAUAAUUAUUCGAAUGACAGCGAAUUUUCAUUGCAGUCGUGCAAUUAGCGUCGGGGAACGCUUAUUCCGUACGAUUUCAACCUUGCGUUUAUGCAUGCUUGAAUUUACCGAGUAAAAAUGGGAAAUACGCAACCACGCUAUUUUCUUCCACUUCUCCUUUCUCAUUAUUGUAUCUCGCGUAAUUCGCAGGGAUAAAUUAUUUUGCAAUUGAAGGGAUAACAUUCUUGAAACAAAUAAAUCGAUAACGAAGUUUGGAAAAUUUUUACGAAAUUAUUUUCGAAUUACAAAGAGUAUUAUGAUCUUUUUUUUUGACGCUAUUUUCCUUUCAUAAUCCUAUCUCGAUAAUUGCAGUUAUCUACCAUUACCGACAGUUAAUCGCGAGGUUGGAUGUGAAAAUAUUUCUAAUAAAAAGAAAAUAAGGUUUCAAGUAAGAGAGAGAGAGAGAUGAAAGAAAAUUUUCAGCAAUUCCAUUCGGCGAGGAUAAAAAAAAUAUUCUUCCUGUGAAAGAAGGAAGGAGGGAGGGGGGGAAAAGGAAUAGAAGUUAUCAAAGUUCGAAGUGGAUUUCCAUUUAUUAAAAAGCUUCUUUGUGCCACGAUGUGAACAAGAAAGCGUGACGAGUGGGAAUACGACCGUUUUAAUUAAAUUUUUAAUUGCCACAGUUCGAACUACUACAACGCAUUACGAUUAUUUCGCAGCUUCACUUCUAUUAAUUACGGCCGGCCAUCUCUUCCGAUACUUAAGUGCAACGCCCUUUUGCCCACGUUUACAUUUAUCGAAAUCCAAGCCAACACUUUUUUUUUUUUUUUUUAAAUGAAACAAAACGCUUAAAAUAGAGAGAAAGAGAGUAUCGAAUUAUCACAGUAUUAAGAAAGAAGGAUUGGAUUGUUGAUAAUAUAAUAUUGUAUUAAACGGAUAAGUCCAUUUGUCUAUUACUAAUGGAUGAAUCGUGUAAAAGAGUACGCAAGACAUUUAAAGACGUCCACAUAUAACGUAGGCGCUUGUUUCCAUUCAAUUUUAAUUAAUACCAACGUAAAUUUAUUUACCGACUCUCUUUUACAAGCCAACUCGAAUUCUUACAUCCUUUACAUAAAAUCUACACAUUCUUUGCUCGCCAUACCUCCACUCGAUACACACACACACAUACUCGUCCCUAACUACAUUCUAUACUACAUUACCGUUCAAAGGUUAGGAAUUACCUAGUUUAACUAUUUGAUUAGCAAAAAAAAAAUAAAAAUUUGUUCGAUUAUUUUAUUAUCCCGCUCUAGGAAACUUUCUCAUCUCAUCCUAUUUUUCCUCCUCCUAAUAAUAAUAAUAAUAAUCGUAUUACAAGACUAUCAAUUAUUCGAUAAAAUUAUAUUAUUUAUCUUUCAAUUUUCUUAUCGCAAGAAAAAUUCCAACUCGGAAAUAACCUCGAAUAAUCGCUCUCGAAACUCGAUUCGGUUUUGAACAGCGGUGUACAAUGGUGUAGAAAUACUGGUAGGGGGGAGCCUCGGGACAUAAUAGACGAUAAAUCUCGAGACGAAAACACAGGGACGAGCGCUGUAUCAAGGAAUCGCGACACGUAGCAGAUUCUCGAAAGAUAUUUCAUUAGCCGGGAACGGGACAUUCCCGGGACCGAUGGACAAUGAACGGGCGAACGUAAGGGGCUGCUGCCUGGUAUUUCUUCAACGCGGCACAACAGGACGCACAAUACCAGUCGUAGAAUAACGAGGCGACAUUGCGCUGGCUGCAGUUUACCGGGUUGGAUUAAACAAACGCAAAGUAUACUUCCACUGUACUGAAACUGACAAUCCGAAUCCGGCUAAGUCGGUAAAGAAGAGCGGGCAAGAAAGAGAAAGAAAAAAAAA